CAGCAGCAGCCGCGGUAAUACAGAGGAUGCAAGUGUUAUCUGGAAUGAUUGGGCGUAAAGCAUCUAUAGGUAUCUUUUCAAGUCCGCCAUCAAGUCCACGUGCUCAACCCUAGACAGGCAGUGGAAACUACCAAGCUGGAGUAUGGUAGGGGCAGAGGGAAUUUUUGGUGGAGCGGUGAAAUGCGUUGAGAUUAUAAAGAACACCAACGGCGAAAGCACUCUGCUGGGCCGACAUUGGUACUGAGAGACGAAAGCUAGGGGAGCAAAUGGGAUUAGAUACCCGUGUAGUCCCUGUCUCUUAUAU
RNAcentral lists this ribosomal RNA (304 nucleotides) under uncultured bacterium. Its description in RNAcentral is "partial 16S ribosomal RNA". It matches the Rfam family "Bacterial small subunit ribosomal RNA", at positions 506 to 809 of the family's 1533-position model. The record is from RNAcentral.